Long non-coding RNA from Oreochromis aureus, 242 nucleotides. RefSeq lists it as uncharacterized. The record is from RefSeq and is a predicted model, not a curated record. The transcript is spliced from 3 exons. Lineage: Eukaryota; Metazoa; Chordata; Actinopteri; Cichliformes; Cichlidae.
CAAAAAAGUUGUUCGCACCCACGCUGCCCCGACAUUAUGUCAGCGCAUUUUGGGGAUUGCAUGGGCACCGAUCGGUUUUGCAUUGCCCAUUUGCGAAGAGUAAGGGCGCCCGCCAUUUACGAGGGGAUCUUGUCUCCUUCUGUUAAGUGGAUAUCAGCAGAUGCACCACUGAGUUUGGAGAUGGCACUCUUCAGUCCAGGUCCCUGUCAAUGGUCUCCAGCACAGGAUCAAUAAUGACAGCC